This 511-nucleotide ribosomal RNA is filed under the name Staphylococcus aureus. Its description in RNAcentral is "partial 23S ribosomal RNA". It matches the Rfam family "Bacterial large subunit ribosomal RNA", at positions 444 to 957 of the family's 2925-position model. Lineage: Bacteria; Bacillati; Bacillota; Bacilli; Caryophanales; Staphylococcaceae. The record is from RNAcentral.
CUGGGAGGACCAUCUCCUAAGGCUAAAUACUCUCUAGUGACCGAUAGUGAACCAGUACCGUGAGGGAAAGGUGAAAAGCACCCCGGAAGGGGAGUGAAAUAGAACCUGAAACCGUGUGCUUACAAGUAGUCAGAGCCCGUUAAUGGGUGAUGGCGUGCCUUUUGUAGAAUGAACCGGCGAGUUACGAUUUGAUGCAAGGUUAAGCAGUAAAUGUGGAGCCGUAGCGAAAGCGAGUCUGAAUAGGGCGUUUAGUAUUUGGUCGUAGACCCGAAACCAGGUGAUCUACCCUUGGUCAGGUUGAAGUUCAGGUAACACUGAAUGGAGGACCGAACCGACUUACGUUGAAAAGUGAGCGGAUGAACUGAGGGUAGCGGAGAAAUUCCAAUCGAACCUGGAGAUAGCUGGUUCUCUCCGAAAUAGCUUUAGGGCUAGCCUCAAGUGAUGAUUAUUGGAGGUAGAGCACUGUUUGGACGAGGGGCCCCUCUCGGGUUACCGAAUUCAGACAAACUCC